UGCCAGACUCCUACGGGAGGCAGCAGUGGGGAAUAUUGCACAAUGGGGGAAACCCUGAUGCAGCGACGCCGCGUGAGCGAUGAAGUAUUUCGGUAUGUAAAGCUCUAUCAGCAGGGAAGAAGAUGACGGUACCUGACUAAGAAGCCCCGGCUAACUACGUGCCAGCAGCCGCGGUAAUACGUAGGGGGCAAGCGUUAUCCGGAUUUACUGGGUGUAAAGGGAGCGUAGACGGCGGCGCAAGCCAGAUGUGAAAGCCCGGGGCUCAACUCCGGGACUGCAUUUGGAACUGUGUGGCUGGAGUGUCGGAGAGGCAGGCGGAAUUCCUAGUGUAGCGGUGAAAUGCGUAGAUAUUAGGAGGAACACCAGUGGCGAAGGCGGCCUGCUGGACGAUGACUGACGUUGAGGCUCGAAAGCGUGGGGAGCAAACAGGAUUAGAUACCCUGGUA
This 446-nucleotide ribosomal RNA is filed under the name uncultured bacterium. RNAcentral's name for it is "bacterial SSU rRNA". It matches the Rfam family "Bacterial small subunit ribosomal RNA", at positions 329 to 792 of the family's 1533-position model. The record is from RNAcentral.